AUAAUAAUGAUAAUCAUAACACUGAUGAUGAUAAUAAUCCUAAACCACCUCUUUCUCUCCACAGCUGAAGUGUUGUGGGGUAAACAACUACACGGACUUCCAACAAGCGACGAUGUGGCAGGCCAACAAGUCAAGUGAUGUGUUGGUCCCUAGGGCAUGUUGUGUGCUUGAAGGGAACCCCAUCAAAUUCCUACCACUAGACCCUACCUGCAUUACCAACCCCACCCUGGACAACUCUUAUUACCUAACAAGUUGCUUGAGCAGGUUGCAGGAGAACACCUUCUACUACCUGUCACCCAUGUUGUCUGUGGCCAUCUGUCUGGGCACACUACAGCUAAUCCUCAUCACACUCUCGUUUUAUAUGUGUAGAGCCGUUAGCAAGGCCAUGAAGGUUGCUACGGUAGACUGAUGCAGUGGGUGGAGAACCACGUCAACCUGCUCAUGGGGAUCGGCAUAGGUGUGGGCCUCUUUGAACUUCUCUCGAUGGUGUUUGCCUUCUGUCUGUGUUCCUCUCUAAAUCACAAGAUCAAGUGACGCCAGCAACAACACAAGCUCAGCACUGACUAGCAAGGGACAUAAUAGUGUGCAGUCGACCAUCUAGACAGUGUCUGAGAACACUGUAGAACUAUGAGAGGACAAAGGAAAAGAACUUGAUGUUAUGCAAGUUCUGGGAAAGGGGUGAAUGAGAUCAUAUCAAUGAAAGAAGACAGUGUUCGACAAUAAUCCUGAUAGAACUGUUCUUUGUGUGUGUGUUACUGCAGUAUAUUCAUUCUAGCUCUUAAAUUACAAAGACAAAAAAUAUACCAAAGGUUUCAUUUUUGAAAAGUUAAGCUGUGAAAAUAGACACAUAAAAUUUUUAAAGUAAUACAGUAUAUAAAAGUGGAUUAUAUUUUCCUGUGCGUGAGUCAAAUUUACACCGGCCUUCCCAGAAACACGACAUAUCGUCAUAGCUUUCAUGUCAACCAAGAAGCAGACAGAUUCAGGCUUGUUACCGAGGUAGAGCGCCAGAGAAUUAAGUCUCUCCCUCACAUUUCUUCUUGUCCCAGAUUUAUCCUCUUCAGAUUUUCAUUUCCUCAGUCUUUCUUAUCCAUAUAUCUAACUUCCUCCUGUAUAACCCUAUUUUGUAAUCCUCUUACCCUGUUAUACAAUUUUUCCUAGGUCUCAUUUCUUGCCUAACAAUUUCUCUUUCCAUUCUCCGUUACAUCCCGUUUUGUUAUUUUCCUAAUCAUUCCUCGGUCCCUAUGAUUUUUUUCCCCCUCAAAUGUCUGUAUUAUUAUUCCAACAAAUAAAUGAAAAACCCAAUUUUCCGUCAUCACUCAGGCGGUAACAGGACCAAGCUUAGUCACUCAACCCUCUGGACCAUCAGU
Long non-coding RNA from Homarus americanus (American lobster), 1367 nucleotides. RefSeq lists it as uncharacterized. Lineage: Eukaryota; Metazoa; Arthropoda; Malacostraca; Decapoda; Nephropidae. The record is from RefSeq and is a predicted model, not a curated record. The transcript is spliced from 3 exons.